AGUGAACGCUGGCGGUAGGCCUAACACAUGCAAGUCGAACGGCAGCACAGUAAGAGCUUGCUCUUACGGGUGGCGAGUGGCGGACGGGUGAGGAAUACAUCGGAAUCUACUUUUUCGUGGGGGAUAACGUAGGGAAACUUACGCUAAUAUCGCAUACGACCUACGGGUGAAAGCAGGGGAUCUUCGGACCUUGCGCGAUUGAAUGAGCCGAUGUCGGAUUAGCUAGUUGGCGGGGUAAAGGCCCACCAAGGCGACGAUCCGUAGCUGGUCUGAGAGGAUGAUCGGCCACACUGGAACUGGGACACGGUCCAGACUCCUGCGGGAGGCAGCAGUGGGGAAUAUUGGACAAUGGGCGCAAGCCUGGUCCAGCCAUACCGCGUGGGUGAAGAAGGCCUUCGGGUUGUAAAGCCCUUUUGUUGGGAAAGAAAAGCAGCAGGUUAAUACCCCGCUGUUCUGACGGUACCCAAAGAAUAAGCACCGGCUAACUUCGUG
RNAcentral lists this ribosomal RNA (492 nucleotides) under uncultured bacterium. RNAcentral describes it as "partial 16S ribosomal RNA". It matches the Rfam family "Bacterial small subunit ribosomal RNA", at positions 29 to 507 of the family's 1533-position model. The record is from RNAcentral.